AGCAAUACGUCAGCGGCAGACGGGUGAGUAACGCGUGGGAACGUACCUUUUGGUUCGGAACAACACAGGGAAACUUGUGCUAAUACCGGAUAAGCCCUUACGGGGAAAGAUUUAUCGCCGAAAGAUCGGCCCGCGUCUGAUUAGCUAGUUGGUGAGGUAACGGCUCACCAAGGCGACGAUCAGUAGCUGGUCUGAGAGGAUGACCAGCCUCACUGGGACUGAGACACGGCCCAGACUCCUACGGGAGGCAGCAGUGGGGAAUAUUGGACAAUGGGGGCAACCCUGAUCCAGCGACGCCGCGUGUGUGAAGAAGGCCUGCGGG
RNAcentral lists this ribosomal RNA (322 nucleotides) under uncultured bacterium. Its description in RNAcentral is "bacterial SSU rRNA". It matches the Rfam family "Bacterial small subunit ribosomal RNA", at positions 83 to 422 of the family's 1533-position model. The record is from RNAcentral.